Molecule: ribosomal RNA, 835 nt
Filed under: Salmonella enterica
Lineage: Bacteria; Pseudomonadati; Pseudomonadota; Gammaproteobacteria; Enterobacterales; Enterobacteriaceae
Also listed under: 1 other name
Description: partial 23S ribosomal RNA
Rfam family: Bacterial large subunit ribosomal RNA
Source: RNAcentral
GGCGGGACACGUGGUAUCCUGUCUGAAUAUGGGGGGACCAUCCUCCAAGGCUAAAUACUCCUGACUGACCGAUAGUGAACCAGUACCGUGAGGGAAAGGCGAAAAGAACCCCGGCGAGGGGAGUGAAAAAGAACCUGAAACCGUGUACGUACAAGCAGUGGGAGCACCCUUUGGGGUGUGACUGCGUACCUUUUGUAUAAUGGGUCAGCGACUUAUAUUCUGUAGCAAGGUUAACCGAAUAGGGGAGCCGGAGGGAAACCGAGUCUUAAUUGGGCGUUAAGUUGCAGGGUAUAGACCCGAAACCCGGUGAUCUAGCCAUGGGCAGGUUGAAGGUUGGGUAACACUAACUGGAGGACCGAACCGACUAAUGUUGAAAAAUUAGCGGAUGACCUGUGGCUGGGGGUGAAAGGCCAAUCAAACCGGGAGAUAGCUGGUUCUCCCCGAAAGCUAUUUAGGUAGCGCCUCGUGAAUUCAUCUCCGGGGGUAGAGCACUGUUUCGGCUAGGGGGCCAUCCCGGCUUACCAACCCGAUGCAAACUGCGAAUACCGGAGAAUGUUAUCACGGGAGACACACGGCGGGUGCUAACGUCCGUCGUGAAGAGGGAAACAACCCAGACCGCCAGCUAAGGUCCCAAAGUCAUGGUUAAGUGGGAAACGAUGUGGGAAGGCCCAGACAGCCAGGAUGUUGGCUUAGAAGCAGCCAUCAUUUAAAGAAAGCGUAAUAGCUCACUGGUCGAGUCGGCCUGCGCGGAAGAUGUAACGGGGCUAAACCAUGCACCGAAGCUGCGGCAGCGACGCUGAUGCGUUGUUGGGUAGGGGAGCGUUCUGUAAGCCUG